Molecule: ribosomal RNA, 467 nt
Filed under: uncultured bacterium
Lineage: Bacteria
Description: partial 16S ribosomal RNA
Rfam family: Bacterial small subunit ribosomal RNA
Source: RNAcentral
AUAAACGCUGGCGGCGUGCUUCACACCUGCACGUCGAACGGUGAAGGCGGAGCUUGCUCUGCUGGAUCAGUGGCGAACGGGUGAGUAACACGUGAGCAAUCUGCCCCUGACUCUGGGAUAAGCGCUGGAAACGGCGUCUAAUACUGGAUACGAGCUGCGAAGGCAUCUUCAGCAGCUGGAAAGAACUUCGGUCAGGGAUGAGCUCGCGGCCUAUCAGCUUGUUGGUGAGGUAACGGCUCACCAAGGCGUCGACGGGUAGCCGGCCUGAGAGGGUGACCGGCCACACUGGGACUGAGACACGGCCCAGACUCCUACGGGAGGCAGCAGUGGGGAAUAUUGCACAAUGGGCGAAAGCCUGAUGCAGCAACGCCGCGUGAGGGACGACGGCCUUCGGGUUGUAAACCUCUUUUAGCAGGGAAGAAGCGAAAGUGACGGUACCUGCAGAAAAAGCGCCGGCUAACUACGUG